RNAcentral lists this long non-coding RNA (1560 nucleotides) under Accipiter nisus (Eurasian sparrowhawk). RNAcentral describes it as "lncRNA (ENSANIG00000017883.1)". Lineage: Eukaryota; Metazoa; Chordata; Aves; Accipitriformes; Accipitridae. The record is from RNAcentral.
AUGCGAAUUUUUUUAUCCUGGUCACAGUGCAAAACUCCUGCAGGUUCGAACGCCCUAAAGGCAGCGCGCAACGCGCCAUCCCACGCCUAUUCGCUACGUUUUCUACACGCCGCUUCUCCCCCGUUAAGGUUCCCCCAGCGCAGAGGCAACCUCCCGCAAGCCGAGCUCACAGCCCCCCUGUCCCCCCACGGAUGCCGAAGCACUCGGGCUCUCUCCUGCCAAGACCGGGGACCCGCUCUCCAGCCGCAGGUGCCGCCGCCGCUGCCCAGCCCCGCUCCCGCAAGACCGCAGGCUGCCCGCAGCCCGGCUCCGGCCUCACAAAGCGAUUCCACCCGUGGGCUCCGGUCACGGCAACGACGCCCCGAAACCCCAAGCCCCGUCCCUAAAAACCCUCUCGGGAACUACCUCAGGGCUGCGGGGCUUCCCUGGGAAGAAGACGGCGUUCCAAACCCCGACUCCCUGCCGCCACCGCCCCGAGCCGCCGCUCGCCCGCCCGCCUCCCUCCCCCGCUGCCGCCGGUCCGUACUCACCCCGGGCCGCGGGGGCUUCUCCGACGCCGGCGCUCCUCUCCCCAGCCGCCUCGCUACAGCUGCUCGCCCCUACGUGCGCCGGGGGGGGGGGGGGAAGAACGCGGGGCAAGGGGAAGCCCCCGCCGCCCGGCUCCGCGCCGCCGGCGAGGCCGCGCCCACCCACCCUACGUGCGGCUCGGCAGCCGCGGCCCCCUCCCCGCCCGCCCGCCCGGCUCGCCCCGGCCGGCCGCCUACGUGUGGCCCUGCAUGCGGGAGAGCGUGCGGCACGCCGCUCCUGAGCUCAAAGGGGACGGCCGCCGGGCUGAUCCCCUGCCCAGCCGCGCUCGCUCAGGCGGAAACAGGCCUUCCCUCAGCCGCCGAGCAGCGCUGGGAACGGGGUUGGGAGGGGAAGGGGCAGCCGCCGAGCCGGACCUCGGCAGCGGCGGGCAGCGCAGGAGGGCGGGCGGGAGCCGGGAGCGGGAGCCGGGAGGAGCCCGGGAGCGGGAGCCGGGUAGCCCGGGAGCCCUUCGCGGGGCACAUCUGGCCGGGAGCGUGGCGGCGCGUCACGUCUGCACGGCCGCGAAGCGCGGGCGCACCGCGGCGCUGCCGAGCCCCCCCCCCCUCUCCCCCGUUCUCCUCAGAAGACCCCGCCGUUCCCGGGCCUGCCGGGCUGCGAGCCGGGGAGCUCGUUGGGGCGGAGGGGAGGGCUUCUGUAGGGACAGGGGCUGGGAACGCCAAAGCCCCACCGGCAUCCCCCGGGGCUGCGGUAGGGCGGCGGCUGCCCGGCCGCUCCCGCCCUCCUAAACCCCUUCCUCCCUCCCGGGCCGCUCGCCGACCGCGCCCCGGGGGCCGACCGACCGACCGAGGGGUACGUUGGCCCGUGUGCCCGCCGACCGGGCUCGCCCUCACGGUGUGGGGCAGGAGGGACAGCCGCCCCCCCCCCGGGGCGGACGGAGGGAGGGAGCUACCGGUCACCGACGGGCCCCCGGGCCCCCGCCCUCACUCCCUCACGGAGACGCCCCAGCGGCACCUCCCGGCAACGGGGACUGCG